Brassica oleracea var. oleracea is the source of this 1504-nucleotide long non-coding RNA. RefSeq lists it as uncharacterized. The record is from RefSeq and is a predicted model, not a curated record. The transcript has 7 exons. NCBI's taxonomy places the organism in Eukaryota, Viridiplantae, Streptophyta, Magnoliopsida, Brassicales, Brassicaceae.
AUCAUCUAAUAAUUAGACCUAGAUCUACUAAGCGGAGCUGAAGUCGCGUGUCUCUUCUCGCCUCCUCUGCCACUUCGGCUUCUCCCCGUAAACCAUUUAGACUGAGUUUUAAUCGAUACAUCCAUACUCUUUCUCUCCUCCCUUUUCCUUCAAUUCAAUUAAUCAUCCUUUAAACACAAUUACAUCUCCAUGAUCACUCACGCUUCAGCUUCUCCUCUGUUGCUAUAUACAAGCUGUAUUAUUAUUUUUUUUUUGGUUCUGUCUCUGUAUAUUCCUUGCUCACCAGUCACCACUUCCAUGGUGAUACCAUUGCUAUGAAGCCGAGAAUGGAAAAUUGAGAUCUUGAAAAGCUAUGGUGGACAACCUAAUUGGCAGAUGCGUGAAAACUUUCACGAAACUGGGGUCGAUAAAAAGAAAUUGUAUCGUCAACUUGACCAAUAUUAACUAACCCUCUUUCUCUCAUGGCUUUGAUCCCUCCCCUAUCUGUCCUCGAUCCACUUCCCUCAUGGGGACAUAGACGCACACUGCAACACUGGUCCGUGGUCUCAACUUCACCGGCCUCCGUCUCCAUGGACGGAUCAAAGGAAACGUCAACAAGCUCUAUGCUCAACUCGAGAAAUCUUCUCCGAUAAAAGUUGAAUCUGGAAAUUCCAACACGAAGAAGAGAUCUGAUUACGACUCCCCCCAUGCGGCUCCUGUUGUCGUGAAAAGGUACAUUGACGGAGGAAGACCGGAUCGGGGAUGUUCAGGGAACCUCUAUCUCAAAUCCACACCAGCUACUUUAACACCGGCGUUCCUGAAAUCAAAGACUUGACUACCAGGUUGCUUAAUUACUAAAUCAUCAGAGACGAGUGUUCAUGGCGACACCAGAUGACUUGGCUCUGCCUUUCUUUUCUCUUUGGUCUUUGGGUUUUACUUUACGUCUUCCUAGAACCGGUCCAAGCAGGCCUGCUACUACUGUCCAUCAGAUUGUUGUCCUUUGGAAUGUGUGAUGAGUAAUGCAUUGAUAAGGAUGUUGAAAGAGGUAGGGAGCUUAUGCGGAUUACAAGAUGACAUCUACUGCUUUAAGGGAACAGUUUUGCGGAAGAUGGUAAAAGUCUCGGGAGCCUAUGAACAUGUGACUGAGACUACCAUACAGCUCUUACGAAGCACCGUAAACCAUCACGUUGAAGAGGCUGGAUGAGGCCGAGGGAGACGAGAAAGAGUUGGCGCAUCAAGAGUAUUCUGAUCCCAGUAACGGUGAGGCAGAGCGUGAGAAUGGUAACAAGUUCUUCAAGAAGCAGGAGUAUCACAAUGCUAUGAUAUAUCACACUGAAGAUAUCAAAAGGAAUCCAAAAGACCCGAGAGUAAGCCAAAUCCAAUCGUCAUAUGUCCUCUACUGCUGUGUACAAGUUUACAAAAAAAAGCUUCCUUAUUUGAUUGUUUGAAUUAACAAGUUAUUAUCAACAUUUUCUUCUGGGUUUUGAUGACUAUCCAUUAGUAGAAUACAAUUUUGUUCAAUAGA